UGAACAGAAACAAAACCAAGACAGCAGAAACAGAGGAAGUGAUAGGUGUAGCAGAUAUUUAUCAAAAUCAAGACGUAGCGUACUCAAAGCAGCGGACCUCCAAACCACAGAGCGCCUGUCAACACCAUGAUGACGCAGGUGAAGCCGAACAAGAUUCUGUGUACCAAAACGUCACCACAGCAGAUGAUAUCUACUGUAAUCAAAUUUUCAUUAAAGCCAAUAGGAGAUGAACAACAUGCACAUCUGUGAUCAAACCUUGCAUUUUUGGGUCACAUCUGUACCCAAAUGAUCCUGUUUGUAUCUCAAUUAACAGUUAUCCAGCACAUAUUCACGUACCGCUAUGGUCCAACCUUUUCAUUGUCUUACUGAAAACUACAGUAACAUAAUUAUUUGUACAGAUUUGUUUUAUAAUUACUAUCAGUUAUAUUGAGUACUUAUUGUCAUUGCUUAUUUAAUUUCUUCAACUUAGAUUUUACAUUUUUGCUUUUACUUUUACAUUCAUUAUGAUUGCUUAUUGUUAAUAUAACUGUUACACACCUGCAAUAUAAGACUUGUAGUCAUGAUAACCAGUUCCCCUACAAGGUAAAUACCCCAAAUGUAAGUUACCUUCAUGAAUGCACCUUUAGUUUAAGUGAAUAAAUAAACAAAAUGAAACAACUG
This is a long non-coding RNA of Sander lucioperca (pikeperch), 660 nucleotides long. RefSeq lists it as uncharacterized. The transcript is spliced from 2 exons. Lineage: Eukaryota; Metazoa; Chordata; Actinopteri; Perciformes; Percidae. The record is from RefSeq and is a predicted model, not a curated record.